This is a ribosomal RNA of Nicotiana attenuata, 130 nucleotides long. It matches the Rfam family "Bacterial small subunit ribosomal RNA", at positions 1388 to 1520 of the family's 1533-position model. The record is from Rfam. NCBI's taxonomy places the organism in Eukaryota, Viridiplantae, Streptophyta, Magnoliopsida, Solanales, Solanaceae.
CUCAAGCUCAUAUGUGGCCUAUGGCCAUGCCCGAAGUCGUUACCUUAAUCGCAAGGAGGGGGAUGCCGAAGGCAGGGCUAGUGACUGGAGUGAAGUCGUAACAAGAUAGCCGUACUGAAAGGUGCGGCUG